This 269-nucleotide signal recognition particle RNA is filed under the name Clostridia bacterium. RNAcentral's name for it is "signal recognition particle sRNA large type". It matches the Rfam family "Bacterial large signal recognition particle RNA". From Rfam's summary of the family: The signal recognition particle (SRP) is a universally conserved ribonucleoprotein involved in the co-translational targeting of proteins to membranes. The record is from RNAcentral. Lineage: Bacteria; Bacillati; Bacillota; Clostridia.
CCAUACUAACGCGGGGAGCCAGCAGUUCCCUAUACCCUCAAUCUGCUUUAUGGGGGGCGGACAUCCGUGCCGCGGGCCGUGAAUGAAUGGUAUGGAGCAAAGUUGAAAAUGUUGAUGAAUGGGUCCUGUGCAAUUGAGACCCGUGAACCGUGUCAGGUCCUGACGGAAGCAGCACUAAGCGGUACACUCGAUGUGCCGCAGGUCUGCCUGUUCUGAGUUUUCACUUUGAAUUCCUCAUUUCAGCUCACAGUUCAGAGUUCGGCGUAUGG